RNAcentral lists this transfer RNA (73 nucleotides) under Arthrobacter citreus. RNAcentral's name for it is "tRNA-Val". It matches the Rfam family "tRNA". From Rfam's summary of the family: Transfer RNA (tRNA) molecules are approximately 80 nucleotides in length. Their secondary structure includes four short double-helical elements and three loops (D, anti-codon, and T loops). Lineage: Bacteria; Bacillati; Actinomycetota; Actinomycetes; Micrococcales; Micrococcaceae. The record is from RNAcentral. RNAcentral also lists the same sequence under 1 other name.
GAUUCCAUAGCUCAGCUGGGAGAGCACUACCUUGACAGGGUAGGGGUCGCAAGUUCGAAUCUUGUUGGAAUCA